Punica granatum (pomegranate) is the source of this 879-nucleotide non-coding RNA. NCBI's taxonomy places the organism in Eukaryota, Viridiplantae, Streptophyta, Magnoliopsida, Myrtales, Lythraceae. The record is from RefSeq and is a predicted model, not a curated record.
AAGGAUUUAAUUUAGAUUGAAAUGACAAUUAUGCCAUUGUCAUUUAAGUCUAAUUGCACCCAACACAAAUUCAUCUUCCUUAGACUCUCUUCAGAUACAGCUUAGAGCGACAACGACCUUGACGAGGACAAUGAAGCUCUCCACCAACGGCCACCUGAAAACUAUCAUCUCGUCAUUCGCUUGCAAACCUCCAAGCUCUCGAUUUCCUUCUCGAAACAGUUUCUCUCCCAAUCUUGCAAUCUCAGCUGCUCAGCACUUUCAGAAAAAGUUUGUCCUUCGCUCUACCAAAUAAAUUGGUCUGGCUAUAUAAACGUAUUCCCAUACCCCAAAUCUCUGUCACCAGCAAAAAGUCCAUAAUAUAGCCAUUGCAUUAUAAAGAUAGAGAGGAACAACGCAAAUGGAUAUGGAUACCCGCGCUAACAUUGUAAUCGUGUCCGUACUGGUCAUGUUUGCUGCCGUGGCCAACUCCGAGAUUACCAUAUGCAACGUCCCCCUUUCAGGGCUUCAGGCCUGCCUUCCGGCAGCUAAGCCACCCAGCCCACCACCACCGACGUCGGAGUGCUGUGCGUCAAUGAAGGAUGCCGACUUCUGCUGCCUGUACUCGUACCGAGACUCACCUUUGCUGCCUUCUCUCGGAGUGGACCCCAAGCUCGCCAUUCAGAUUCCUGACAAGUGCCACCUUGCUCAUCCUCCUCCUUCCAGUUGCUAAUGAAUCGAUGAAGCUUUCGUGAUGAUGGGACCAUAUUAACAUUAAUCUCGAUGAUGAUGGAGCGUGUUGAUUUUUAUAAUAUGUUUAUGAUUAAAGGUUGUCAUGUGAUAUUUAUAUGAUUAGUAUGUGAAAAAUAAUAUUGCAAAUUGAUAAGGCUUGUUUUUGGUGGA